UGCAUAUCAAAAAGCGGAGGAAAAGAAACCAACAGGGAUUGCCUCAGUAACGGCGAGUGAAGCGGCAAGAGCUCAAAUUUGAAAGCUGGCCCCUUCGGGGUCCGCGUUGUAAUUUGCAGAGGAUGCUUCGGGUGCAGCCCCCGUCUAAGUGCCCUGGAACGGGCCGUCAUAGAGGGUGAGAAUCCCGUCUGGGACGGGGUGUCUGCGUCCGUGUGAAGCUCCUUCGACGAGUCGAGUUGUUUGGGAAUGCAGCUCUAAAUGGGUGGUAAAUUUCAUCUAAAGCUAAAUACUGGCCGGAGACCGAUAGCGCACAAGUAGAGUGAUCGAAAGAUGAAAAGCACUUUGAAAAGAGAGUUAAACAGCACGUGAAAUUGUUGAAAGGGAAGCGUUUGCGACCAGACUCGCCCGCGGGGUUCAGCCGGCAUUCGUGCCGGUGUACUUCCCCGUGGGCGGGCCAGCGUCGGUUUGGGCGGCCGGUCAAAGGCCCUCGGAAUGUAUCACCUCUCGGGGUGUCUUAUAGCCGAGGGUGCAAUGCGGCCUGCCUGGACCGAGGAACGCGCUCGGCUCGACGCUG
This 574-nucleotide ribosomal RNA is filed under the name Aspergillus fumigatus. RNAcentral describes it as "partial large subunit ribosomal RNA". It matches the Rfam family "Eukaryotic large subunit ribosomal RNA", at positions 37 to 628 of the family's 3401-position model. The record is from RNAcentral. Lineage: Eukaryota; Fungi; Ascomycota; Eurotiomycetes; Eurotiales; Aspergillaceae.